UUUUUGAACCAUAUCAAAGAAAACCCCAAAGCCAAGUGUAAAGGCCAUAAAACUCGUCUCCCACCGUCUUCGUUUGUUCCUCUUCUCUGUCUGUCAACAGAACAGCCGAAUGCUCCUCUGCAACAUUCUCAUUUCUAGUUGAAAGCGUUCAAGAAACGAAAAAGUUCCUCUUCUUCUCUGGGUUGGGCCUUUGGAUUGGCCAUCCAUGAAAUUUAGGUGUCUCAUGUCUCAACUAUGGUGAUUUUAGAUGGUGAUUUUAUGGCAUGCUACAAGCUGAUUACUUUUAUAUCAUCCAAGGUGUGGAUUACUGCUCUUCUUUUAGGAGUUUUGAAAUUUGGAGAAAUUUGAUGGGUUGAUGAACUGCUUGCCUCUUGGGGCAGAAUGGGGGUUUGGAAUCUGGAAUCUUUGCUUUUAUGCUGUGGACUUGCAGAGCUUGUGGAGAUCUUUUUUGGAAAAGAAUUCCGAAGAGGAGUUUGGUGGCUGUAGCACAAAGACUGUUAUAUCACAUGGUAGAGGAUUAUGGAUUUCAGAUAACAGUUGGUAGGCAAGUGCAUUUUUUUCAUGGUAUGACGUGUCUAAUUGCCCCUUGAAGAAUGCUUUUCUUGAUUUGGCAGCUGAUAAAAAUGGUUGUGUGUGAUGGAGAUGGUAUCUCUCAGAUCCCUAUAUUUUUAGAGAAUCUGAAUGAAUGAGAGCUGGUUUUUGUGUUGGAUUCCUUUUAAGACUUUAAUAGUGGUGAAGGUUGUAGAAUUGGGGUUCGAUGACUAAUUGAGUUGGACUCUCAAUAGGGGAAGAAAUUUGAUGCAAAGACCUUUUUAAAAUUCUUUUCAGUGGAAAAGUUUGGGCAGGCACACCACACCACCCCCCCACCAACCCCACCCCCCCAACUUUUUAUUUGGGUUGUGCUCAUCAGAGAGUUUUGAUGAUUACUUGAUGAAAAUGGGAAGCUUCUGGUUAGUGUUAAUAGAUGCCAUGUGUAAGAGCUAAAAUGAACCAUGUAUCAUUUACAUUUUUAUUGUUCAGUGACCAGGGAGCUGUGGGAUUACAUAUGUUAUAUCUUUGUGCUCUCAUGCUGAUGCUGAAAAGUGUCAUUGACGUUCAAUUGCAGGUUUAUUAUAAUAGAGAGGUUUGGUAGGCAGUACCUUUUCAUUUGUCCUUGUGUUUGUGUUAAGAGAAAUAUCAUAUAGCAUUUGAAGAGUAGCACUGUGUCAAGAAGUUAAAGGAAUUCAUCGAGAGGAUUAUUCUAUUUCUAGGGGACAUAUAAAUACUUCUGUUUUUUUAAAAAUUGGGUCUUCUUCUCUUUACAAUUUCAAUGGGAUGCACCGUCUCUAUAUGACUUAUGUUAGCACCUCGUAACAAUUUUAUUUUAAUUAUUUAUGAGGUGUUUUUAAUUUUUUCAAACUUCUCUUAGAGAGUAAUAUUGGAGGUGAGGGGAUGAAAUGGGGUUUAUCCAAAAUGGGGGUGUUUAAGGAUAAACCAUACUAAAGGGAAUCCAUUUGGUGUUCAAUCCUUGCUCUUUCCAUGGAAAGAAAUUUUGUGUAAUGCUGCCCCACCUAAGGCAGCUUCUUUUGCUUGUACAGCAUCUUUGGGUAAGGUUUAAACAAUAGAUAAUGUAAUUGGACAACUCGCACUUGUCCAUCAGUUGUGUUUGUGAAAGCAAGCAGAGGAAUCUGUAAAUCACUAUUUCUUUGUGCAUGUUUGCUAGGAAAUGAUGCUAUUUUUCAUCCUCUCUCUCUCUCUCUCUCUCUCUCUCUCUCUCUCUCUCUCUCUCUCUCACACACACACACACACACACACACACACGCAGGCACGCAGGCACGCAGAGUCUUUUUGGAAUUCCUUGGGUGAUGAUAGCUACAGCUGAUGUAUAUGUGGAGUCCAUGUAUGGUUUGUCAAGAAGACUAAUAACAUAAGUUAGAGUCCACCGUUGCGUUCUUCAUGGUAUCCGUGGCUGGAGCAAAUUUUUUGUUAUUUUGAGGGGAUAGAGCAUUCAUCAUGGAAGUGAAACAUGACUUUUUAAGGCUACCGUUUGAUUGGAAGAUGAAGAUAGUCUGACUUUUUCUUUUUCUUUAUUCCCCAUUUUGGAUUACGUUCUUCCUUGCGUUCACUUGGUGUUUUGAAAUUAAAACCUUAUGCAUUGAAAAACUUGUCUUAAAAAUUAAAAGGAAGUGCAUGAAGCUCUAGAGUUUGAUUCCUGUGUUUAAACUGACAUUUUUUUUUCCUUCUUGGAAACAGAGGUUGGUGCAACUUUUGGGUUUGCCACUUCAGUAAUAUAUGAAACUCCUAUUUCAAACAUAUAAGAGGGUGAAUUACUCUGGGACUUUAUACGAACGUGCACCAGAUAUUAGUGAGGUUGUUUCAGAUGUGUACAAAAUGCUACUCUCAUUGCAGCUGCAGAAAAGCUCAACUAAACUCAAAGGAAAAUAAGAAUACUGAUGAUUUGCCAUCCUUACUUUUUCCAAGAGGUUCUUCCUGGCUGUCAGCAGUCAGUAUAAUGUCUGAAAGUAGUGCACCUAAUCUCGUAUAUAAAAGGAGGAAAUUAUGAAGAAACUCUGUCACCAUAUUUUCAGAAGAUCCAGAAAAGGAAGAGAGAAAGAAGAGAGAGAUCCUAACCACAAUUAUCAUAAUUUAUAUGAAAUUGAUCACAUUGAUCGCAAAUAGAAUUCCAAACCAGUUGACAACUCAUGCGAAAUUUUACCAUAGCCUUGCUUUUGGUAUAAUUUUUAGUUGAUGAUCAAUCCCAUGUGUAAUUCUUGUUUCUCUACUGCAACUAGUCAGUCCAAAUUAACAACUCUUCGGCCAAAUCCGGUUUUCAUUGCUUUCUUUCAGUUUAACUUGGUUUGUUUUCAUGUUAUGUAUCCACUCCAUAACAAGAUUUGUUGCUAUUACUUUUUUUAUAGUAGUGAUUCAGACUUGUUAUUCUAUUUCACAACUGUUUAUGAUUGAA
Long non-coding RNA from Prunus persica (peach), 2944 nucleotides. RefSeq lists it as uncharacterized. Lineage: Eukaryota; Viridiplantae; Streptophyta; Magnoliopsida; Rosales; Rosaceae. The record is from RefSeq and is a predicted model, not a curated record. The transcript is spliced from 4 exons.